AAGACCAUAGCCCAAAUCACUUGAAUCGCCCAAAUCUCCUGCAUUGCCCACCACAACCCUCAUUGUCAGCAACAAAGCUUGCAAUAACAAUCUUGUAAAGAUUAGCUUCAACUCAAAGGUAUGGCUCUCUCACACUAUCACAAGUCUUAAUUGAUUCAUGGAUUAUUAUUGAUAGAAUAGCAGCACUAGGAUAUGUAUUGGCACGAACAAUUCAAAGUUUUUUUAAAGAUUAAUACUUGUAAAAUAUGACACAUUAGGUGUUUGUUAAAAUGCGUCUAAGAAUUUUUUAAUUAUCUCAAUAAUUUUGCAGAGUUAUUCCCUAAUUAUUGCCCCUUUAAUACCAAAAAAGUUACUAAGAUGAAUUUUAAACUUAUUUCAUUUUUUUUUCACAUCUUAGCACUGGUUUUGGGUGAAAUGAGAGCGAUGACUACUAUUGCCAAUGCUCCAUUGCCUACUUUGACAUGAACAAUAGAAUCUAUCGCCUUGAUGUCUCAAAUGUAUAUUUUUUUAUUUGUUUAAAUAUUAUUAUAAUAUUUGUCAUAUCAAAGGAGCUUAAGCUUGUAGAGACGGCAUCAAAGGGGCUUAGAUUGUAACCUUAGGUGAUGUAAUUACAAUACAAGAGUUUUUUCAUAGUUUAUCCAAUCAGAGUUCAUACAUAUAAUAACAUUCACUAUCCAAUCAGAGUUUUUUCAUAGUUUAUCCAACUCUUGCCCAACUCUUGUAG
This 724-nucleotide long non-coding RNA is filed under the name Citrus sinensis (sweet orange). RNAcentral describes it as "long non-coding RNA (CSIN_LNC000648)". Lineage: Eukaryota; Viridiplantae; Streptophyta; Magnoliopsida; Sapindales; Rutaceae. The record is from RNAcentral.